CGCAGCCAUGUCAAAUUCAGUGUUUCCUCUUCAGUGGAUGUCACUGGCCAAAAUGGCUGCCACAUUGUACUAGUAGUUCAUGGGCCUCGCUGUGCACCUUUAUGGUCUGUGGGGAUAGAAGAGUGCUACUUACAAAA
This is a small nucleolar RNA of Synchiropus splendidus (mandarinfish), 137 nucleotides long. RefSeq annotates it as small nucleolar RNA SNORA5. The transcript has a single exon. The record is from RefSeq and is a predicted model, not a curated record. NCBI's taxonomy places the organism in Eukaryota, Metazoa, Chordata, Actinopteri, Syngnathiformes, Callionymidae.